UACGUAGGUGGCGAGCGUUGUCCGGAAUUACUGGGUGUAAAGCGCGUGUAGGCGGCAGGCCAAGUCGGUGGUGAAAGCCCCCGGCUCAACUGGGGAGGGUCACUCGAUACUGAUCGACUCGAAGGCAGGAGAGGGUAGUGGAAUUCCCGGUGUAGUGGUGAAAUGCGUAGAUAUCGGGAGGAACACCAGUGGCGAAGGCGACUACCUGGCCUGUUCUUGACGCUGAGGCGCGAAAGCUAGGGGAGCAAACAGG
RNAcentral lists this ribosomal RNA (253 nucleotides) under uncultured bacterium. RNAcentral describes it as "partial 16S ribosomal RNA". It matches the Rfam family "Bacterial small subunit ribosomal RNA", at positions 524 to 776 of the family's 1533-position model. The record is from RNAcentral.